This is a long non-coding RNA of Xenia sp. Carnegie-2017, 580 nucleotides long. RefSeq lists it as uncharacterized. The transcript is spliced from 2 exons. Lineage: Eukaryota; Metazoa; Cnidaria; Anthozoa; Malacalcyonacea; Xeniidae. The record is from RefSeq and is a predicted model, not a curated record.
GUGUUGUAGAAAGGGUAUAUGUUGUGAUAAGAAGGACACGGUGUGGUAGGAAAGACACGCUGUGGCAGGAAGUUGAUGAUGUAGUACCGUUAGAAAAGGCGUUGGUGUUGUAGAAAGGGUAUGUUGUGAUAAGAAGGACACGGUGUGGUAGGAAAGACACGCUGUUGUAGGAAGGAUACGGUGUGAUAGGAAGUGCAUGCUGUCGUAGGAAAAGAUGCUUGACUAUGUGAGAUAAUCACCAUGACGAGAGGAUUGUCAAACAACACUACAACAACUACAAAAAAAUACACUAUAAUUUUUGUUUUCCUUGUAUUAAACCCUUUAAAUUACAUGAACCGAGCGUGUAUAAAACAAAAGUCAAUGUGUAAUUUUAUCUCAUUUUCUUUUGUCGUAAAUGCAUUUAGCUCAUUUAUAGUCCCACGUUUGAAAUGGGCCUAAGAAGUGCCUUAGUUGAGGCAAGGGAAAAAAACUGAUUGGAGGAUUUUUUUUCUGACUAGAAAAUGUUUAAGUUGUGAUUCACCAUAGAGAGGGUGUGAGUGAGUUCAAAAUAAACCGUUGUUACGUAUCUUUUGAUCAAUGC